Long non-coding RNA from Helianthus annuus (common sunflower), 1027 nucleotides. RefSeq lists it as uncharacterized. The record is from RefSeq and is a predicted model, not a curated record. The transcript has 2 exons. Lineage: Eukaryota; Viridiplantae; Streptophyta; Magnoliopsida; Asterales; Asteraceae.
UAUUUCUAUUAACCAUUUUUCAUAGAUGAAUCCUUUUCAAAUACAAGGUCAAACUUCAAGACCUAUUGUAGCCAAGUUUAGAAGCUGGAGGGCUGUAGUUGUCAAGGUAGAAGGUUGAGAGCUAAAGUUUAACUUUUGUGUGUAUAUAAGGAGAGUAAGGUAUGAGAAUGAAACACUCGUCUUUGCUCUCUCUUCCUUAUGCACACUCUAAUUGAUUCUUAUAUCUUUGAUCAAUUGGGUUCAUAAUCAUCCCACUUCAAAAGAUGUAAAUUUGACUUUCAAAAGGUCAAAACUUCAUAAAUUUGCAUGAAGCCAAACCUUGUGAGCAUCUAAAUCAUGUAUCAUCUGACUUUUGUUUUCCUUUGCCUUCGACUUGUGAUUAGAUGUAUGUAUAGUCGUAUAGGGAUUUUCGUGGUAAAUGUACACGACUUGUUCUCGAGUUUCAGAAUACACAACCAUCAAGCUUUGAACCCAUAUAAAUAUAAAAUUCUAGAUGGGUUCAAAAUUUAAUAACUAUAUAUGGAUCCGACCCGCAUCCGGCCUGGUGGGAAUUAAAGAGAAUAGAUGCGACGGAGGCGUUUAUGGCGGUGACGACCUCGGAUUCUGGAGGCACAAGGGUGGUGGAACCAAGCGUGAAGAUCGUGAAGCAGUUACUUCAACGUUUGGAAACCAGACCGGACCGGCCGUUCCAGUCGGUUUAACCGGAGACCGAUGGUGUCGGCGGUCCGGUCAUGCCCUUUGAACCAUUUGUGCAGCAACCGGCCAGCCGGACCGGGUGGCCAACGAUCGAACCGUGGAACCGCGACUAGGCGGUCAAAUCGGAGAUGAAGAUAAUAACAAUGCUAAGUCUGGUCUUCGCUCGAAGAGAGUCAGAGAUGAGGGGAGGUGGUGAUGAUUUGAACAAUUUUUGUGUUUUUGUUCGGCAACUGCUGCCACGUUCCUUGUUCUCCGGUCCACUGAGUAGUAAUAUAUAAGAAAACCUAAUGCAUGUACUCCAUGUAUAGAAGAAAAAGUAGAAAUUUUUUUU